GACAGAAGGUGCAAGCGUUACUCGGAAUUACUGGGCGUAAAGCGUCUGUAGGUGUCUGGUCACGUCUGGUGUGAAAUCACAGGGCUCAACCCUGUAUCCACAUUGGAAACGAAUCAGAUCGAGUCACUCAGAGGCAUCUGGAAUGUCGUGUGUAGGGGUAAAAUCCGUAGAUACACGAUGGAACGCCAAAAGCGAAAGCAGGAUGCUGGGGGUGUACUGACACUCAGAGACGAAAGCGUGGGGAGCAAAGGGG
RNAcentral lists this ribosomal RNA (253 nucleotides) under uncultured bacterium. RNAcentral describes it as "partial 16S ribosomal RNA". It matches the Rfam family "Bacterial small subunit ribosomal RNA", at positions 524 to 776 of the family's 1533-position model. The record is from RNAcentral.